AAGUCGUAACAAGGUUUCCGUAGGUGAACCUGCGGAAGGAUCAUUAUUGAAUAAACCUGAUGGGUUGUAGCUGGCUUCUCUGGAGGCAUGUGCACGCCUGUCAUCUUUAUAUCUUCACCUGUGCACCUUUUGUAGACCUGAAUAUCAUUCUGAGGUAACUCAGUUAAGAGGAUUGAUGUGCUUAUGCCAGCUUUCCUUACAUUUUCAGGUCUAUGUUUUCAUAUACUCCUGUAUGUAACAGAAUGUUUUAUUGGGACUUGUGCCUAUAAACUAUAUACAACUUUCAGCAACGGAUCUCUUGGCUCUC
Molecule: unclassified non-coding RNA, 307 nt
Filed under: air metagenome
Description: partial contains small subunit ribosomal RNA, internal transcribed spacer 1, and 5.8S ribosomal RNA
Rfam family: Eukaryotic small subunit ribosomal RNA (bases 1-46)
Source: RNAcentral